UGAAUACGAGACGCUAAGGCGUCGAAGUAGUGUAUGUCAUACUUCCAAGAAAAGCUUGCACUGUCAUAGAUAAAAAACGCCUGUACCAUAACCGACACAGGUGGGUAGGUAGAGUAUACUAAGGGGCGCGAGAUAACUCUCUCUAAGGAACUCGGCAAAAUAACUCCGUAACUUCGGGAGAAGGAGUGCCUUAUUCGUAAGGUUGCAAUAACAAGAUCCAAGCAACUGUUUAUCAAAAACACAGGUCUCCGCUAAGUCGUAAGACGAUGUAUGGGGGCUGACGCCUGCCCAGUGCCAGAAGGUUAAAGAAGUUGGUUAGCAAUUGCGAAGCUGAUAACUGAAGCCCUGGUGAACGGCGGCCGUAACAAUAACGGUCCUAAGGUAGCGAAAUUCCUUGUCGGGUAAGUUCCGACCCGCACGAAAGGCGUAAUGAUUUGGAUACUGUCUCGGAGAGGGGCUCGGUGAAAUAGACUUGUCUGUGAAGAUGCGGACUACCUGCACCAGGACAGAAAGACCCUAUGAAGCUUUACUGUAACUUGAAAUUGAAAUUGGACUUUAUUCGCGCAGUAUAGGUGGGAGGCGUUGAUUAUAAUCUUGUGGGAUUAUUGGAGCCAUCAGUGAGAUACCACUCUUGUAAUGUUAGAUUUCUAACUUUGAAUCAUUAUCUGGUCAAAGAACAGUUUCAGGCGGGCAGUUUGACUGGGGCGGUCGCCUCCUAAACGGUAACGGAGGCGUACAAAGGUUUCCUCUGAACGGUUAGAAAUCGUAUCUAGAGUGUAAAGGCAUAAGGAAGCUUGACUGUGAGACCUACAAGUCGAGCAGGGACGAAAGUCGGUCUUAGUGAUCUGACGGUACUGAGUGGAAAGGCCGUCACUCAACGGAUAAAAGUUACUCUAGGAUAACAGGCUGAUCUCCCCCAAGAGUUCACAUCGACGGGGAGGUUUGGCACCUCGAUGUCGGCUCAUCGCAUCCUGGGGCGGUAGUACGUCCCAAGGGUUGGGCUGUUCGCCCAUGAAAGCGGUACGCGAGCUGGGUUCAGAACGUCGUGAGACAGUUCGGUCCAUAUCCGGUGUAGGCGUUAGAAUAUUGAGAGGAGCCUUCUUUAGUACGAGAGGACCGAGAAGGACAUACCUCUGGUGUACCAGUUAUCGUGCCAACGGUAAACGCUGGGUAGCUAUGUAUGGAGUGGAUAACCGCUGAAAGCAUCUAAGUGGGAAGCCCACCUCAAGAUGAGUAUUCUCAUC
Molecule: ribosomal RNA, 1244 nt
Filed under: metagenome
Description: bacterial LSU rRNA
Rfam family: Bacterial large subunit ribosomal RNA
Source: RNAcentral